GGAUGUGGCUCAGUGGUAGAGUGCUUGCUUAGCAUGCUUGAGGCACUGGGUUUGAUCCCUGGCACCA
RNAcentral lists this transfer RNA (67 nucleotides) under Marmota monax (woodchuck). Its description in RNAcentral is "tRNA.Ala". The record is from RNAcentral. Lineage: Eukaryota; Metazoa; Chordata; Mammalia; Rodentia; Sciuridae.